UGCAUUGUUGAUUUAUAUCCAUCCCCCAUGAAGCCAACCUAUCACUAGUUGGUAGUUUGUUUUGUAAUUGGAGCCACAUAGUAACAAUGGCCUUUGGUCUUGCAGAGUUGGCAAAUAUCAGACAUCUCCAGGGCACUCUAGGUCUGUUUCCAAGUAUACUCAGGUAAAGGCUGCCAAUGGUUACCUGAUCAUUUUGCUUCUGUGUUUGCUCUAAAGUCAGUCUAGCAUUAAGUAUCUUCUUG
Molecule: long non-coding RNA, 242 nt
Filed under: Solanum tuberosum (potato)
Lineage: Eukaryota; Viridiplantae; Streptophyta; Magnoliopsida; Solanales; Solanaceae
Description: long non-coding RNA (STUB_LNC000690)
Source: RNAcentral